Molecule: ribosomal RNA, 148 nt
Filed under: Serratia marcescens
Lineage: Bacteria; Pseudomonadati; Pseudomonadota; Gammaproteobacteria; Enterobacterales; Yersiniaceae
Description: partial 16S ribosomal RNA
Rfam family: Bacterial small subunit ribosomal RNA
Source: RNAcentral
UUAAUUGAAGAGUUUGAUCAUGGCUCAGAUUGAACGCUGGCGGCAGGCUUAACACAUGCAAGUCGAGCGGUAGCACAGGGGAGCUUGCUCCCCGGGUGACGAGCGGCGGACGGGUGAGUAAUGUCUGGGAAACUGCCUGAUGGAGGGG